This 1166-nucleotide long non-coding RNA is filed under the name Populus trichocarpa (black cottonwood). RNAcentral's name for it is "long non-coding RNA (PTRI_LNC000790)". Lineage: Eukaryota; Viridiplantae; Streptophyta; Magnoliopsida; Malpighiales; Salicaceae. The record is from RNAcentral.
UGGCUUUGACUCUGGAACCUCAAAAAAUUAGGUUCCGUGACCUGAUUUGGCAGCUUUUAACAAGGGUUCUUUUGCUUUAUGAUGAAAAUCGGUUGUCUUGAUUUUCUUCUAUAUUCUGUUUGAAAAACCAAAUCAUCUUCAUGAAGGCACUACUUGUAAAAAAAGGAGCAAGGAUCUGAAAAUGGAGGGAUUCAUUCCAUGUUGAUCGAGUGAGAGAGAUAUUCCACUAGAAGUUUCUGGUCAAGUGCAGGAUCUUUGCUGCAUGUUAACUUUGCUGCAUAGAAGUUGCAUUAUGCAUUUACGUCAUAGAAGUAAUAAAUGUCUGCAACUUUUCAAUUGCCUAGACCAUGAAAAUGUUUACAAUUAUCCAUACAUUCUCCUUGGUAUCAAGACUUCAAUGAUGCAAAGAAGCUCCAUGAAGUUCUCUUUUGUUGUUACCUGCAUUUAAGAUUUAUACAUAUGCAUUGUUUCCUUAAAGAAUUAAUUUGUUUAUAAAGCACUCACUUUUUCUAUAAUGCAGCAAAGUAUAUAAUACUGAGAGCUAAAAAAAUGAUUUUUCCUUGGUUAGAAAUGUUUUACGAUUUGGCUUUACGUUAUCGCUCACUUAUACAACCUACAGAUGCUAUGCUGUGAACUUGUCUAAUAUAGAAUGUACCCAUUGCAUAGUGGUUUAGGACCAUGGACUGCAUAAUGUGUGGCAUGGUAACUGGUUCGGUUUAUUGUAGUGCUGUAUGCAGUCUGCACAUCAGUAGAUAUGAUUGUUACUGUAUAAAUCAUGUCAUGCGCACAUGAAGACAUGAUUCAGGUUGUGUGUAUGAUUUACAGUUCAUCAUUUAUAAUUCUAUAAUCUUUCUGGCAGAUCCAACGAAAUUUACAGUUACGAAUAGAAGAACAGGGGAGGCACCUUCAAAUGAUGUUUGAGAAACAAUGCAAAUCAGGUAUUGACGUUGACAAGUUGAAGGCAGCUUCAUCUGCUUUGGAAAAUCCCUCUACUCUGUCCUCAGAUGCAAUCCAGGACUCCCCUGCCAAAAAUGAUUUGGAAACCGCCCAGGUAGACUGUGGCAAGACACCAACUGACACAAUUUAUGCCAACCCUGCACUAGAAGGAGGAUCACAGGAUCUGAAUAGAAAGCACAAGGUAUCGCCAACUGAAACUCCUGAAAAUU